CCCUUAGAUGUUCUGGGCCGUACGCGCGCUACACUGACGAAUGCAACGAGCUUAUAACCUUGGCCGAAAGGUCUGGGUAAUCUCCAAAUUUCGUCGUGAUGGGGAUAGAUUAUUGCAAUUAUUAAUCUUCAACGAGGAAUGCCUAGUAAGCGCAAGUCAUCAGCUUGCGUUGAUUACGUCCCUGCCCUUUGUACACACCGCCCGUCGCUCCUACCGAUUGAAUGGUCCGGUGAAGCGCUCGGACCGCGGCCUCUUGACGGUUCGCUGUCGAUUGGCUGUGGGAAGUUCGUUAAACCUUAUCAUUUAGAGGAAGGAGAAGUCGUAACA
RNAcentral lists this ribosomal RNA (327 nucleotides) under uncultured eukaryote. RNAcentral describes it as "partial 18S ribosomal RNA". It matches the Rfam family "Eukaryotic small subunit ribosomal RNA", at positions 1470 to 1796 of the family's 1831-position model. The record is from RNAcentral.